CUGCGGAGCACUUAAAAUACCCACGUCCUACAGGAAGAGGACAGAUGAGGCUCUAAAUUUAGCGACAGUGGCCAGGUUUUCAGUCCGAGCUUCAAAUCUAAAAAGAAGCUAAGUUGCUCUCCCAAGCAUGUGUGUGUGAGCUUUGUGCAGGCCUAAGUGGGCCAUGCCUGGUCUUAUUGUCACUGGGAGCUGUACCAUGAGAUGAGACAGUAAAAUGUGGAGGUGUCUUGAGCUCAGAUCAUGAGGCUUGUCCACAAGCUCUG
Molecule: long non-coding RNA, 263 nt
Filed under: Homo sapiens (human)
Lineage: Eukaryota; Metazoa; Chordata; Mammalia; Primates; Hominidae
Description: HSALNT0185055
Source: RNAcentral